CACGUAUGGGGCGAGCGUUGUUCGGAAUUAUUGGGCGUAAAGGGUAUGCAGGCGGUUUCGUAAGUCUGGUGUAUAAUCCCUCAGCUUAACUGAGGAUCUGCGCUGGAAACUGUGAGACUAGAGUACAGGAAGGGGAGUUGGAAUUCCAGGUGUAGGGGUGAAAUCUGUAGAUAUCUGGAAGAACAUCAGUGGCGAAGGCGAACUCCUGGCCAUGUACUGACGCUGAGAUACGAAAGCGUGGGGAGCAAACAGG
RNAcentral lists this ribosomal RNA (253 nucleotides) under uncultured bacterium. RNAcentral's name for it is "partial 16S ribosomal RNA". It matches the Rfam family "Bacterial small subunit ribosomal RNA", at positions 524 to 776 of the family's 1533-position model. The record is from RNAcentral.